This is a long non-coding RNA of Octopus sinensis (East Asian common octopus), 230 nucleotides long. RefSeq lists it as uncharacterized. The record is from RefSeq and is a predicted model, not a curated record. NCBI's taxonomy places the organism in Eukaryota, Metazoa, Mollusca, Cephalopoda, Octopoda, Octopodidae. The transcript has 3 exons.
GGUAGGCAUAAUUCGCCCCUGACUUUCAAUCUCAGUAUUAAAGCUACACAUAGGACUGCUGUAGUACACAUGCUGUGUACAUUCCUACAACACUGUUUUCUUUACAUGUUAUAAAGGCAAAAGUAAAUCUGCCUACAACUCAGUCGCAAGCCUGUGUUUUGCUUAGUUUUUUGUGUGUUUUACUACAUAAAAUGUGGAGGCGCAAUGGCCCAGUGGUUAGGGCAGCGGAC